RNAcentral lists this ribosomal RNA (758 nucleotides) under uncultured bacterium. RNAcentral describes it as "bacterial SSU rRNA". It matches the Rfam family "Bacterial small subunit ribosomal RNA", at positions 96 to 865 of the family's 1533-position model. The record is from RNAcentral.
CGGCGGACGGGUGAGUAACGCGUGAGCAACCUGCCUCAAACAGGGGGAUAACGCAUCGAAAGAUGUGCUAAUACCGCGUAAGACCACGGCAUCACAUGGUGCAGGGGUCAAAGGAGCAAUCCGGUUUGAGAUGGGCUCGCGUCCGAUUAGCUAGUUGGUGAGAUAACAGCUCACCGAGGCGACGAUCGGUAGCCGACCUGAGAGGGUGAUCGGCCACAUUGGAACUGAGAUACGGUCCAGACUCCUACGGGAGGCAGCAGUGGGGAAUAUUGGGCAAUGGGCGAAAGCCUGACCCAGCAACGCCGCGUGAGGGAAGAAGGGUUUCGGCUCGUAAACCUCUGUCCUAUGGGACGAAGGAAGUGACGGUACCAUAGGAGGAAGCCCCGGCUAACUACGUGCCAGCAGCCGCGGUAAUACGUAGGGGGCGAGCGUUGUCCGGAAUGAUUGGGCGUAAAGGGCGCGUAGGCGGCCUGAUAAGUCUGGAGUGAAAGUCCUGCUUUCAAGGUGGGAAUUGCUUUGGAUACUGUUGGGCUGGAGUGCAGGAGAGGAAAGCGGAAUUACCGGUGUAGCGGUGAAAUGCGUAGAGAUCGGUAGGAACACCAGUGGCGAAGGCGGCUUUCUGGACUGUAACUGACGCUGAGGCGCGAAAGCGUGGGGAGCAAACAGGAUUAGAUACCCUGGUAGUCCACGCUGUAAACGAUGAAUGCUAGGUGUAGGAGGUAUCGACCCCUUUCUGUGCCGCGGUCAACACAAUAAGC